RNAcentral lists this ribosomal RNA (342 nucleotides) under Alectorobius faccinii. RNAcentral's name for it is "Ornithodoros faccinii partial small subunit ribosomal RNA". The record is from RNAcentral. Lineage: Eukaryota; Metazoa; Arthropoda; Arachnida; Ixodida; Argasidae.
AAUAUUACAUAAUGUAAUUUUGAGAUUAAUUUUUAAUUUAUUAAAUUAAAAGAUUUUGGCGGUAUUUUAAUCUUUUUAGAGGAAUUUAUUCUUUAAUGGAUGCAACACACAAAUCUUACUUAAUUUAGUUAAGUCAGCUUGUAUAUCGCUAUCAUUAUGUUAUAUUGAUUAAUAAUUGUAGAAAAAAAAAGUUAAUUAAAAUGUUAGGUCAAAAUGCAGCAUAAAAUUGAGUUUGAAAUAAAUUACAGUAAUUUUUAUUUAAAAUAUUUGAAAAUGAUAAAUAGGAUUUAAAAGUAAAUUUUUAUUAUUAUGAUAAAUUGAAAUAAGUUCUAAAAUAUGCAC